RNAcentral lists this ribosomal RNA (467 nucleotides) under uncultured bacterium. RNAcentral describes it as "partial 16S ribosomal RNA". It matches the Rfam family "Bacterial small subunit ribosomal RNA", at positions 28 to 507 of the family's 1533-position model. The record is from RNAcentral.
GACGAACGCUGGCGGCGUGCUUAACACAUGCCAGUCGAACGGAAAGGCUCCAGCUUGCUGGAGUACUCGAGUGGCGAACGGGUGAGUAACACGUGGGUAAUCUGCCCUGCACUCUGGGAUAAGCCUGGGAAACUGGGUCUAAUACUGGAUAUGACCUUUCUCCUUAUGGGGUUUGGUGGAAAGUUUUUCGGUGUAGGAUGAGCCCGCGGCCUAUCAGCUUGUUGGUGGGGUGAUGGCUUACCAAGGCGACGACGGGUAGCCGGCCUGAGAGGGUGAUCGGCCACAUUGGGACUGAGAUACGGCCCAGACUCCUACGGGAGGCAGCAGUGGGGAAUAUUGCACAAUGGGCGGAAGCCUGAUGCAGCGACGCCGCGUGAGGGAUGACGGCCUUCGGGUUGUAAACCUCUUUCAGCAGGGACGAAGCGUAAGUGACGGUACCUGCAGAAGAAGCACCGGCUAACUAUGUG